This 1959-nucleotide long non-coding RNA is filed under the name Glycine max (soybean). RNAcentral's name for it is "long non-coding RNA (GMAX_LNC004545)". Lineage: Eukaryota; Viridiplantae; Streptophyta; Magnoliopsida; Fabales; Fabaceae. The record is from RNAcentral.
UCAUUUCUUCUUCUUUAUUUCUUCAAAAUCCAUUUCUAAAGUUCCAAGUACUUUCUCCAUCACCCACAUCCACCAUUAGCCACCACAAACCAUCAUUGUUCUCCAUUGAAAACCCACACCGAGAGGAACCCUUUAACCGAAGCAGAAUUUCCAACUUGGCUUGCGGUUUCGGUAGAGAACGAAAACCCUAAUCUGAUCUUUCAUUUUCUUUCGAGGUAAUCAUGGUUCUAUGCUUGUUUCUUGUUAGUUUCAUCUUGUCUUUGCAUCUUUUCUAACUUUGCAACCGCCAUUGCAUGUCUUAUGCUUCCUUUGAAAAACCUUAGAGAAAGAGACUUUGUAAACAUUAUCCUUUCAUGAAAUGCAUGUUAUUUUCGUAACCUACACUGAACCCCGGUCACAUUGGCGUGGUCGGAAUUUCCAAAUUACGUUCCUUUGUAAAACCCAAAAUACUCUCAGCUCUUUCAUGUAGUGAUGUGGGUGUUUGACCCAGAGCACUGUUACUAGCUUUGUUUUCUUAAAUCCAUACUAAGUCUCUUUCGUUUUGGCAUGGUAGAGGCUUGUGUGGAAUCGACGAGCAAGGACAAAAAGGAAUCUUCAAGUGACGCGAGGAGGAAUCUGCGGGGUAGCUCACGAUAGGUAAGGAGAGUUUAUUAUAAAAUUUACCAUUUUAACACCAUAGUUAGGGUCAGGGAACCUAGCUAUGAGGAUAUCUGCCUGUCCCUGUGCAUGCUGAUUUUUCUUCAAAGAAAAUUACGUUUUAACUAAUGGGAUGCGAUAUAUAUAUUGUGAUGAAUGAUAUUGUUUUGGCUGUUUGAAGGCUGUGCGUGUGGAAAUGAUAUUGUUGUGUUUGUUUGAAUUGUUGUUGAUGUUGCUAUUGAGGAUUUUAAUUGAUAUGUGAUGAUAAUGAUGAUUAUGAUGAUAUUGAUUUGAGAUGACAUUGUUAAUAAAGACCAUGUCAACAUGAAUUGUUAUUAUUGAUGAAUAUGUGAAUAUGAAAUGAGGUUGUUGUUGUUGUUGAUAACGUCAUUGAGAUGAGAUGAUAUUUAUGUUGUGAAUGACAUGGAAAUACGAUUUGUUCAUUGAUGUUGGAAAUGCAUUGGCAUGUGCAUGUUGUGUAUGUUCGUGGGGGGUACUGUGCACUGACCUUUCAGGGUCUUUGGCACUAGCUUUUGGCCACGUUCAUACGUUGGAUGUUGUGUAUGAUCGUGGGGGGCAUUGUGCACUGACCUUCCAGGGUCUUUGGCACUAGCUUUUGGCCAUGAUCAUACGUCGUAUGAAGUGUAUGUCAUGGGGGAUAGAGUGCACUGACCUUGUCGGAUGACCCAGACGUGGGUAACUAGCGUGGUUAGAGAAUCUAAGCAUUCCUGAGGGGAUGCUUAGGUGCUUUAAUUGGUCCAUGGUCUUUGGCAUUUACUUUUGGCCGUGAUCAUAGCUCAUACGACACAGGAAAUAGAGUAAUUGUGGCCAAGUGUACUUUGUACUAGGGGGCUGUCACCUGGUAGGGAACACCUUUGGGCUCCCAGGCUGAUCACCUAUGGGAGGGGGGCUGUUACGUGCACAACCGGGUGGUCUCGACAAACUCAGCACAGUUUCCUAAGUGAGAGUGUCGUGUGGACACGCUUGGGCUAUUUCCUGAUAUUUGGUUGUUGUUGGUAUGUACCACAUUGCAUCUGAGUGUUGAGUCAGGUGCAUGCAUUAUUUUGUGCAGUCUUGAUUGGGUCCAUGGAUGGAUGAUGAGUAAUCGUUGGAUGUGAAUGAUGAAUAUUUGUUGGAUAUGAGUGUUGAAUAAUGAUUGUUGUGUAUGCUUAUCAUGUUUGCCUAUGUUCCUUGCUAAUUGUGGUUAUUUGGAAUUGGUAUUGGUUCUUUUAUAAUAAACUCACCCUUGCAAUUUUGUAUCGUGUGGUUGAUACCUGUGAUGAUCACAAACCUUGUUCGUGGGAGCAGAAUGACAGUGGUAGG